GUUCACCUUGUUACCUUGUUUGGAUACUGCUUCUCCGUGACUUAAGAAUAGUCAACAACGAAAACAGGAGCCCUCUCUCCAGCCUAGCCCAUGAUUUCUUGUUACCUCAGUUUCCCUGCCUUGUGCAGUUUCUGAAGGUUCAAAUGAACAGUGAUUAAAGCCUAAACAGACAGCCUAUGGUAUGUAAACAACGACUUUAGUGAGCAUCACUUAUUUUAAUUGGAGGUUUUUUUUAUCCCUGUUUAUUGUUUUUAUUUAUUAUUGACUAUUAGGCAUGCUGGAUGGAGUUCUAUCA
RNAcentral lists this long non-coding RNA (295 nucleotides) under Rattus norvegicus (Norway rat). RNAcentral describes it as "long non-coding RNA NONRATT032334". The record is from RNAcentral. Lineage: Eukaryota; Metazoa; Chordata; Mammalia; Rodentia; Muridae.